Molecule: transfer RNA, 63 nt
Filed under: Pinctada margaritifera
Lineage: Eukaryota; Metazoa; Mollusca; Bivalvia; Pterioida; Pteriidae
Description: tRNA-Leu
Source: RNAcentral
UUUGUAGUGACAGAUAAAUGUGUAAGAUUUAAGAUCUUGAAAUGCGGUUUUCCGCCUGCAAAA